Molecule: long non-coding RNA, 286 nt
Filed under: Athene cunicularia (burrowing owl)
Lineage: Eukaryota; Metazoa; Chordata; Aves; Strigiformes; Strigidae
Description: lncRNA (ENSACUG00000009574.1)
Source: RNAcentral
GCCGGACCUUUUGCUGUGGGAGGACGGAGGGAGCGCCGCAGCCCUGCUGCACUCGCAACCCAAGAAAUCUGGACCCUGGAGAUCUUUCCUCAGUGACGUGGCUGUUUGGACACAGCCUUCUCCUCCUUCUGCUGCAAUAGCAAUGCUAGUGUCCCCAUGCAGCUGCAGUGAGGAGCUCUUGGCUUGGGCAGGAGCAAACCCUGGGCUCGGCGUAGCCGCGCCGGUGGCUAUGGAGUGAUCUGUGCUCUGGGUGCGUGGGCACAGCGGGGAGGCUGAAGCUGGCUGC